UACGAAGGGGGCUAGCGUUGUUCGGAUUUACUGGGCGUAAAGCGCAUGUAGGCGGGUCGUUAAGUCGGGGGUGAAAGCCCAGAGCUCAACUCUGGAACUGCCUUCGAUACUGGCGACCUGGAGCAGGUCAGAGGCGAGUGGAAUUGCGAGUGUAGAGGUGAAAUUCGUAGAUAUUCGCAGGAACACCAGUGGCGAAGGAGACUCGCUGGGACUUUGAUGACGUUGAGAUGCGAAAGCGUGGGGAGCAAACAGG
This 253-nucleotide ribosomal RNA is filed under the name uncultured bacterium. RNAcentral's name for it is "partial 16S ribosomal RNA". It matches the Rfam family "Bacterial small subunit ribosomal RNA", at positions 524 to 776 of the family's 1533-position model. The record is from RNAcentral.